UACGUAGGGGGCGAGCGUUGUCCGGAAUGAUUGGGCGUAAAGGGCGCGUAGGCGGCCUGAUAAGUCUGGAGUGAAAGUCCUGCUUUCAAGGUGGGAAUUGCUUUGGAUACUGUCGGGCUGGAGUACAGGAGAGGAAAGCGGAAUUACCAGUGUAGCGGUGAAAUGCGUAGAGAUUGGUAGGAACACCAGUGGCGAAGGCGGCUUUCUGGACUGAAACUGACGCUGAGGCGCGAAAGUGCGGGGAUCGAAC
RNAcentral lists this ribosomal RNA (250 nucleotides) under uncultured prokaryote. RNAcentral's name for it is "partial 16S ribosomal RNA". It matches the Rfam family "Bacterial small subunit ribosomal RNA", at positions 524 to 773 of the family's 1533-position model. The record is from RNAcentral.